Molecule: transfer RNA, 71 nt
Filed under: Camelus bactrianus (Bactrian camel)
Lineage: Eukaryota; Metazoa; Chordata; Mammalia; Artiodactyla; Camelidae
Also listed under: 2 other names
Rfam family: tRNA
About the family: Transfer RNA (tRNA) molecules are approximately 80 nucleotides in length. Their secondary structure includes four short double-helical elements and three loops (D, anti-codon, and T loops).
Source: Rfam by way of RNAcentral
GAGGGUGUAGCUCCGUGGCAGAGCACCUGCUUAGUAUGCACGAGGUCCUGGGUUCAAUCCCAGUACCUCCA